CAAAAUUUGUAAAAAAACGGUUCAGUUUACAUAUCUUUGUGAAAAAGUAAGUAAUAUAUUAAGUAAGUCUACUCAAUGUUUCAGUUUGUUUAGAAACGUUAAAUGAUUUACAUGCAUCGCAACCGCCAAACUUGACACUCCAGAAAACUAUACAUUCUCAAAACUCACAACGCGUAAAUGAACUUGACAAUUUAUCAGAUAUGUUACCAUCUGAUACAGAGUCACAUCAAUAUGCAGCAUCCUCUAUGCAAGACACAGCAGCAUUGUCUCCUCCUAAGUAUAAAUUCAAAAAUCGGUUUCAGCACAGAUCUUUAUGUCAACAACAUAAAAAUCAAUCACAAGGUAAAGAAACAACUGUCAGUGCUAAUGUAAAUAGUGAGAAUGCUGGUGAAAGUGCUGUUGGCAUAGAUGAUAACGAUACAGAUGAUGAAUUAGGGGGAUUAGAUCUUAGCAAUUUAAAUAAUCUUGCUGCGAAUAACGCUGAUAUACAUGACAUUACUGCUGCAGAUGUUGACGCUAGAGAUGAUGGUGCUAAUUAAUUAGGAGGUUUUAAUCUAAGCAAUGUUCGUGCAAAUAACGUUGCACAAAAUCUUGCUGCAAAUAACGCUGCUCCAAAUAACAUUGCUGCUAAAGAUGUUGACGCUAGAAAUGAUGGCGCUGAUGGACCAGACAAUAUUGUUAAUGGAGAAAAUGACGAUGUUAUUCAAGAAGAGAUUGAUGACGAAGAACAGUUAGAGGAUAAUAUAGAAAAUGAAGCAGAUAAUAACCAGAAUCGUGGUAAUGAUGGGAACCAGAAACGUAAAACCAUUAAAAUGAAAGAUUUUAUAUUAAAUUGUGUAAACUAUUACAAAGCAAAAGAAGGCCAUGGUUUUGAUGAAAGACAAAAAAGAUAUACAAUAGAAAAUGAUGAGAUAUAUCUUGGAGAAAACAAAAGUGUACAAGUAUUGGAAUGGGAGAUGAGCCUUGAGUGACCACCCAUAUUCCUUGUUCAAAGUGCACUACAUUUAUGGGACAUUAAAGAGUUUGCUAACAGAGCCUUUGAAAUUCACGAUGACAUGAAGAAUAUUCCAGGAAGAUUACCAAUAAAACUUAUCGAAAGAAAUCUUCUGCGAUUAUUAAUAAGUUUAUACCAUGAUUAUUUGAAACGUAAUAGGUGUUUAGAUCAUGAGUCAAAAGCAUCGUACUUGUUAAAAGCAACAUACACAUUAAGAAAUAAAAUGAGAAUAUUGAGGUCACAGGAGAAGAAGGCUAGAACACCACGUAAUGCACAAAAUGCAAGACGGAGGCUCAGUUAUAACAGCAUUGAAUAACUUUACUUUUUCUUGGUGUAUAACAAAUUAUCACGUUAUUUUUGUAAGACUUCAAAUAAUUUUAAAAGUAUUGAAGAUCAGUGAUACAUUUGUUUUAGAUCAUCAGAAGAAUUUAUGUCGUUAUUGGUUACAUAACCUAGAUACCUAAAAGAUAAGCUUAGUAAAUUUAGUACAUUUGUAAUUGAACAUGUUUAUAGUGAUUGUUACUGAUCAUUUUAUUUCAUCCUACUCUGGAUGUAAUAAUACCUUGACUAACAUAUUUUUAAUAAUGUAACAAAUGUAAUUUGUUGAAAAAAAUAUGUAUUUGGUACGUCUUAAAGUCGUAUUUUGUAUGCUAAAUUUGCAAUUGGUAUUGCAAAUGUAUUUUAUAGAAAUGCUGUGCGGAUAAUAAUAGAUUAUAUGGCUAUGUAUAUGUUAUUAAGGAUUCAAUUAAAAUUAACAUAAGUUUUAAAAGUAAAAUAACAAUUAACAUACACAUAUAAUCUAUUUUUGAUGUUGUUGUAUACCUGGUAUUUCCUUUAAU
Nasonia vitripennis (jewel wasp) is the source of this 1833-nucleotide long non-coding RNA. RefSeq lists it as uncharacterized. Lineage: Eukaryota; Metazoa; Arthropoda; Insecta; Hymenoptera; Pteromalidae. The transcript has 4 exons. The record is from RefSeq and is a predicted model, not a curated record.